RNAcentral lists this ribosomal RNA (207 nucleotides) under uncultured bacterium. RNAcentral's name for it is "partial 16S ribosomal RNA". It matches the Rfam family "Bacterial small subunit ribosomal RNA", at positions 568 to 774 of the family's 1533-position model. The record is from RNAcentral.
UGCGCAGGCGGGGCAAUAAGUCAGUGGUGAAAUCCUGCGGCUUAACCGUAGAACUGCCAUUGAUACUGUUGUCCUUGAGUAUAGUUGAGGUGGGCGGAAUAUGUAAUGUAGCGGUGAAAUGCAUAGAUAUUACAUAGAACACCAAUUGCGAAGGCAGCUCACUAAGCUAUCACUGACGCUGAGGCACGAAAGCGUGGGGAGCGAACA